Molecule: long non-coding RNA, 1111 nt
Filed under: Marmota monax (woodchuck)
Lineage: Eukaryota; Metazoa; Chordata; Mammalia; Rodentia; Sciuridae
Source: RNAcentral
UGUAAAGUUUCUAAGCUGCNAAAGAGAGGUGCUAAGCAACUCAGUGAGACCCUGUCUCUAAAUAAAAUAUAAAAUAGGGCUGGGGAUGUGACUCAGUGUCUGAGUGCCCCUGAGUUCAAUCCCCAGUAACCUCCCUCAAAAGAAUAUAUUCUUAGAUAUCAAUGAAAGAUAUCUCCUUCUACACAUACUAUGAAUAAAACAUUCAUAAAUAUUUUCUGGAAUGUUGAAAUUCUUAUGAAUAUUAUAAAUAUAUUCUUCUGAUGCCAUUUGGUCUCCUCUUUUCUCUGAAUCAUCACACCAGAAUUAAAGAGAUAGGAUAAAUCUUAUUUUAAUCUUAAUGAUAAAAUGUUCAAAUCAACAUAAGAUAAACCAGUCUUAAAUUAGUAUAAUCCAAUAGCAUGCAGAUAUCUCACAUAAAUAUUAUUAAUUGUAUUUUACUUAUCACCAAGCAAUGAAUUUCUCUAAGUCAUUGUUACAUAAAUGCUUCCUAGAGGCAUUACCCAAGUGGCAUGACUAUUUUAUGUCCACAAUUCACUUCUGUUAUUUACAAACAGAAUUUUAAUCAUUUACAUAGCACAUUUAUCAUUGAAGAUUUAACCUUGAGACACAAUCUAAUAUCCAUAAUCUGAUAAUUUGCAGCAGCAACGUGGGAGAGAAAUGUUUUUUAAUCACUUUUCACUUGAGUGACCUUAUGUUUAAAAAAUAAAUCAAUAAAUUGGAAGUUCUAAGUCUCCAAAGAGAUUUUCAAAUGCACACAUAGAAACGGUCAUAGUGAGAUUUUUAAGAAUCCAUCUUCGUGUCAUAUCUUGUUUAAUUGCUGUACAACUUUUUCUCCCAGCUGCUUCCCUUUGACUGCAUGGGAAUAAGAUGGGUGUUUUGCUUGACUUCUUUGAUGUCCUGAACUUUCCGCAGCUCUUUAUUUUUCUCCAACCUGUUAAUUAUAAAUUUAGCGUGGCAUUUCUGUUUGAUCUCUUAGACUCUCUUCGUUGCAUCAGUAGUUUUAUUCCAUAGCUCUUGCAGGUUCAUUUCUACGUUUUUCAAAUUUAAAUCAGCAAUCCACAGUCAGCCUUUCACCUGUUGCUUUCCAGAAUGCUUUAGUCCACCUGAAUUU